Molecule: ribosomal RNA, 495 nt
Filed under: uncultured bacterium
Lineage: Bacteria
Description: bacterial SSU rRNA
Rfam family: Bacterial small subunit ribosomal RNA
Source: RNAcentral
UGAACGCUAGCGACAGGCCUAACACAUGCAAGUCGAGGGGCAGCACAAGGAGCAAUCUGAGGUGGCGACCGGCGCACGGGUGAGUAACACGUAUGCAACCUGCCUGUAAGCGGGGAAUAACCCGUUGAAAGACGGACUAAUACCGCAUAAUACUAAAUUACUGCAUGGUAAUUUAUUUAAACAUUUAUGGCUUACAGAUGGGCAUGCGCAUGAUUAGCUAGUUGGAGAGGUAACGGCUCCCCAAGGCAACGAUCAUUAGGGGUUCUGAGAGGAAGGUCCCCCCACACUGGUACUGAGACACGGACCAGACUCCUACGGGAGGCAGCAGUGAGGAAUAUUGGUCAAUGGACGAGAGUCUGAACCAGCCAAGUCGCGUGCAGGAAGAAUUGUCCUAUGGAUUGUAAACUGCUUUUGCAGGGGAAUAAAGUGCAUCACGUGUGAUGUUUUGUAUGUACUCUGCGAAUAAGGAUCGGCUAACUCCGUGCCAGCCGCGGC